GUUAGGAAUAUUGGACAAUGGGCGCAAGCCUGAUCCAGCCAUGCCGCGUGAACGAUGAAGGCCUUCGGGUUGUAAAGUUCUUUAGCCGAUGAUUAUAAUGACUGUAGUCGGAUAAUAAGCCCCGGCUAACUUCGUGCCAGCAGCCGCGGUAAUACGAAGGGGGCGAGCGUUAUUCGGAAUCACUGGGCGUAAAGCGUGCGUAGGCGGUCUCGUAAGUUAGGAGUGAAAGCCCAGGGCUCAACCUUGGAAUUGCUCUUAAUACUGCAAGGCUAGAAUCUCGGAGAGGAUAGCGGAAUUUCCAGUGUAGCAGUGAAAUGCGUAGAUAUUGGAAGGAACACCAGUGGCGUAAGCGGCUAUCUGGACGAGUAUUGACGCUGAGGCACGAAAGCGUGGGGAUCAAACAGGAUUAGAAACCCGGGUAGUCC
This 425-nucleotide ribosomal RNA is filed under the name uncultured bacterium. Its description in RNAcentral is "partial 16S ribosomal RNA". It matches the Rfam family "Bacterial small subunit ribosomal RNA", at positions 354 to 796 of the family's 1533-position model. The record is from RNAcentral.